AGUGAACGCUGGCGGUAGGCCUAACACAUGCAAGUCGAACGGCAGCACAGUAAGAGCUUGCUCUUACGGGUGGCGAGUGGCGGACGGGUGAGGAAUACAUCGGAAUCUACUUUUUCGUGGGGGAUAACGUAGGGAAACUUACGCUAAUACCGCAUACGACCUACGGGUGAAAGCAGGGGAUCUUCGGACCUUGCGCGAUUGAAUGAGCCGAUGUCGGAUUAGCUAGUUGGCGGGGUAAAGGCCCACCAAGGCGACGAUCCGUAGCUGGUCUGAGAGGAUGAUCAGCCACACUGGAACUGAGACACGGUCCAGACUCCUACGGGAGGCAGCAGUGGGGAAUAUUGGACAAUGGGCGCAAGCCUGAUCCAGCCAUACUGCGUGGGUGAAGAAGGCCUUCGGGUUGUAAAGCCCUUUUGUUGGGAAAGAAAAGCAGCAGGUUAAUACCCCGCUGUUCUGACGGUGCCCAAAGAAUAAGCACCGGCUAACUUCGUG
RNAcentral lists this ribosomal RNA (492 nucleotides) under uncultured bacterium. RNAcentral's name for it is "partial 16S ribosomal RNA". It matches the Rfam family "Bacterial small subunit ribosomal RNA", at positions 29 to 507 of the family's 1533-position model. The record is from RNAcentral.